This 387-nucleotide ribosomal RNA is filed under the name uncultured Pseudomonas sp. RNAcentral describes it as "bacterial SSU rRNA". It matches the Rfam family "Bacterial small subunit ribosomal RNA", at positions 996 to 1382 of the family's 1533-position model. The record is from RNAcentral. Lineage: Bacteria; Pseudomonadati; Pseudomonadota; Gammaproteobacteria; Pseudomonadales; Pseudomonadaceae.
AUUUCUAGAGAUAGAAAGUUACUUUCGGUACAUCGGUGACAGGUGGUGCAUGGUUGUCGUCAGCUCGUGUCGUGAGAUGUUGGGUUAAGUCCCGUAACGAGCGCAACCCUUGUCCUUAGUUACCAGCACGUAAUGGUGGGCACUCUAAGGAGACUGCCGGUGACAAACCGGAGGAAGGUGGGGAUGACGUCAAGUCAUCAUGGCCCUUACGGCCUGGGCUACACACGUGCUACAAUGGUCGGUACAAAGGGUUGCCAAGCCGCGAGGUGGAGCUAAUCCCAUAAAACCGAUCGUAGUCCGGAUCGCAGUCUGCAACUCGACUGCGUGAAGUCGGAAUCGCUAGUAAUCGUGAAUCAGAAUGUCACGGUGAAUACGUUCCCGGGCCUU